This is a long non-coding RNA of Mangifera indica (mango), 295 nucleotides long. RefSeq lists it as uncharacterized. NCBI's taxonomy places the organism in Eukaryota, Viridiplantae, Streptophyta, Magnoliopsida, Sapindales, Anacardiaceae. The transcript has 3 exons. The record is from RefSeq and is a predicted model, not a curated record.
CUCACGACGAUAUUAGGAGGGCCUCACCCAUUAACCCUUCAAUUAUAUCAUGUCUCCCACAUGAGUACUGGCCAUGAAAGGGUUUCGGUUGGCCAUUCGGUUGCAUCACUUCCUCCAUCCGAGGGUACUGCUAUGAGGGGGUUUCAGUUGGUUCAUCGAUUACAUCAUCUCCCCUUCCUGAGGCUUGCAAUUUAUUGUUGUUAUUAUAUUUUUUAUUAAAUGUCAUUGUUCAAUUUGUUAUUAAUAUUCAUAUAGGGUAUUGGCUAUGAAAGGGUAUCGAUCGAGAGUUCUCCCU